RNAcentral lists this long non-coding RNA (350 nucleotides) under Rattus norvegicus (Norway rat). RNAcentral's name for it is "long non-coding RNA NONRATT013415". Lineage: Eukaryota; Metazoa; Chordata; Mammalia; Rodentia; Muridae. The record is from RNAcentral.
UGGGAGGAAGAAAUGACUACAGAAAUGAUCAGCACAACCGACCGUACUGAUGACUGUUUCCAAUGCUCUCUUGUCUCUGACAUAAUCCAUGGGGAAUUGUCAGAAUGUGCCUGCUGCUUUCCUCAUGGCCUCUUGGGUAGUGAAAUUGACAUUUGGGUUUUUAUUUGGGUGGGAGGGCUGGGGACAGCUUUCCUUUUAGAAAUGUCCAUUAAAAUUUUCCCUUUUAGUUUCCCACCCUCUCUUUCCCAACCCUUAAAGCUAAAUGCGUUGUAAAAUAUGGCCAAAAUGGAAAGUGUUUUGUAAUACUGCAAUAAAAAGCUGCUUGUUUUUUGUGGGGGAAAAAAAGUAAA